CUCACUAGAAGUCUUGUUUAAUGGGGUCACACUGUUAGCUGCUCCAUUGUCCUUACCUCUGAUUUGUAUGAGCUUGUGGAAUGAGAUGAAAUCCCUAUGGCUGCUUUCUCAAACUAAAUAGGAUUCCCCUAACUUCAUUAUAGGUGGCCAAGCUGCCCCAGAGUCCUCAUUCCCGACUUACAUUCCCACUCGCUUACCGCUGACAGGGGACUGAACCCAUGACCUACUAUUCAAGGAAGAAGUCACUUCCUAGACAUUGGUGCUGUUCAGCCUUCAGUCUGGGCUUUUUACCGAGCAAACGUGUCUGUAGUCCUCCACACGAAAUUAAACAGUUUGUUAUUGAAGGGAAAUAUUACCUAAACACUAGGCUCUAUCAAAUUUCUCCCAGAGAUUAUGAAUCUGGAUUUCAUUAUCUGUUUUUGGAAGAAAAAAUAAUUAUGGGAAAAAAUGUUUCUGCAGCUAAGGUUGGCAGAAAAAAAAACAUGAUUGAAAAGGAUUAA
RNAcentral lists this long non-coding RNA (500 nucleotides) under Lepisosteus oculatus (spotted gar). RNAcentral's name for it is "lncRNA (ENSLOCG00000021722.1)". Lineage: Eukaryota; Metazoa; Chordata; Actinopteri; Semionotiformes; Lepisosteidae. The record is from RNAcentral.